CUACGGGAGGCAGCAGUAGGGAAUCUUCCGCAAUGGNCGAAAGUCUGACNGAGCACCGCCNCGUGAGUGAUGAAGGUUUUCGGAUCGUAAANCUCUGUUGUUAGGGAAGAACAAGUNCCGUUCGAAUAGGGCGGCGCCUU
RNAcentral lists this ribosomal RNA (140 nucleotides) under uncultured bacterium. RNAcentral's name for it is "partial 16S ribosomal RNA". It matches the Rfam family "Bacterial small subunit ribosomal RNA", at positions 339 to 481 of the family's 1533-position model. The record is from RNAcentral.